GGACACAGAUGAUAUCUCCCUAGGUUCCCUCUCCAGAAGAAGUCUUCUUUAGCCUUCACAGGAUUGAGAAUGAGCUGGCCUGCAGAUUGGGAUGGGAUAAGGUGCUUCUCCUCCAAAUGCGAGGGCUACCACUAAUCCCAGAGUUGCAUCUUAGAGGACAAAGGGCAAAGUGUGAG
This 176-nucleotide long non-coding RNA is filed under the name Apteryx owenii (little spotted kiwi). RNAcentral describes it as "lncRNA (ENSAOWG00000009021.1)". The record is from RNAcentral. Lineage: Eukaryota; Metazoa; Chordata; Aves; Apterygiformes; Apterygidae.